This 23-nucleotide transfer RNA is filed under the name Naringi crenulata. Its description in RNAcentral is "partial tRNA-Leu". The record is from RNAcentral. Lineage: Eukaryota; Viridiplantae; Streptophyta; Magnoliopsida; Sapindales; Rutaceae.
GGGUUCAAGUCCCUCUAUCCCUA